UAGUAUAUAAAAAGUUUAGUCAAAAAAUUACUCUUUUCAAUCCUACUUAAACUCCAAAACACACAAAAUUUGCAUCCAAUCUGUAUCCAAAAACCUAAAUUUGCUGAUCCUGAUAUCUAAAGCUCUAAUGACUUCAAAAGAGAAAUCCUAAUCCCUAAUAGGACCUCCGGCAACCUCCUUGAAGCCCAUUGGACAUGGCUUUUGACUAAUAGGAAUGAAGAUCUCCAUUCCUUGCCUUCAUCCAACCAUGCCUUAUUUUCAUCCUUCCCAAUAAG
Molecule: long non-coding RNA, 275 nt
Filed under: Physcomitrium patens
Lineage: Eukaryota; Viridiplantae; Streptophyta; Bryopsida; Funariales; Funariaceae
Description: long non-coding RNA (PPAT_LNC005529)
Source: RNAcentral